UCUCCCUCCUGCCUGGAGAGUGAAGUAGCAGCGACCUCAAUUAUCUGCCUGCGCAAGUCUUCCUUUUGGGUCUGCAAUUGACAACCCGUGGCAGGGCGUGAGCGCUCCCCCUGCUGGCCUCCUCACCCCGUGUUAAAUGAGGUUUCCUUCUACCAGUUUUCACAGCUGCAAGGGGGCACUUGAGCCAACGAGCAGGAAGGCCAAGUCACUGCAAACAGGGAAGUGUGGGAACUAGUGCUCUCUGGAGCCGAUCUGUCAGUGAUCACCAAGGCCAGGCUGUGGCUGUGGGAGCGGCCGCUGAACCGACCGGAAGAUGGUGGUUAAGGAAGAAAAUGCUUCCGUUUUCCACGUGGGAAACCUGCAGCUCAGACCUGCACUCCUGGCGCCCAGGACCAGUUAAAAGGAGAAGAAACCCGCAUGUGAUGGCUAAUUUCAUGUGUUGAUUUGACUGGGUUAGGGGAUGGCCAGAUAGCUACUUACACAUCAUUUCUGAGUGUGUCUGUGAGAAUAUUUCCCAAGAGAUUAACAUUUGAAUCACUAGACUGAGUAAAGAAGAUAUUCCUUGCCCAUGCAACUGGGCAUCACCCCAUCCAUUCAGGGUCUGAAAAGAACAAAAGAAGAGGAAGAGUGAAUUUUCUCUUUUGCUUGAUCUAGGACAUCCACCUUCUCCUGUCCUUGAACAUUGGUGCUCCUGUUUCUCAGGCCUUUGGACUCAGACCAGGACUUAAUACUGUCAGCGCCCUAAUCCUCAAGCUUUUGAACUCAGAUUGGGGCUAUCAGUUUCCAAGGACAAAGACCAAAAUCUAUAUUUCUUAUAAUACAUGAGCCCCUUCAGUGGCUAGAGCAAUGCUAUGGAAACUCUCACCUGCCAUCAGUCCCUCUUGGCCUCUGGAUCCUGAUGCAAAGGUUCUGCGUCAGUCCAGGUCCUCCAAGAAGCCAACCCUGAGAUAAAGGGGGGGGGAACUGGGAAAGUCUGGAAGCAACAUUAAUACCCAUGCAAAUUUGACCCUGAGUGAAGAAGACAGGGAAGAAAGACUGGCUGGAGGUAUCCUAGACCUCUGUGUGAUGUAAGGAAGGUUCUGCCAAAGGAGAGAGCCUUCCAACCAAAGUUGGCCAUCAGAAGAGAUCCAUGUCUUCCAAGAAUGUGGAUGCCUCCACCUCCCUGGCUGAAGCACCCAGUCACUGGCCGGGAGUAGGCCAGUAGCAGCGGUCAGUUACACCCCUGCCGUUUGAGGUCAAUGAGAUUCACUGUAGGGCCACAGCAGGUUCAUGGUCAUCUGUGCCUAUGAAAUUCUGAGAAUCUAGGUCUGUUGACUAUCUAGGUCUAAAUGAUUAUUCAUUUUGUCUUAUACCUUCCUCGUGAGGUUUCUGAUUUUUUUUUUAAGAAAAGCCCAUGUCCUUGGCUAAAAUAUUAGAUAUGCCUAAUUGAAGAGAG
Molecule: long non-coding RNA, 1435 nt
Organism: Neomonachus schauinslandi (Hawaiian monk seal)
Lineage: Eukaryota; Metazoa; Chordata; Mammalia; Carnivora; Phocidae
Exons: 3
Source: RefSeq, a predicted model, not a curated record